AGUGAAGCGGGAUGAGCUCAAAUUUAAAAUCUGGCCGGUUUACUGGUCCGAAUUGUAGUUUAAAGAAGCGUUUUCGGUGGCAGCCUGGGUAUAAAUCCUUUGGAAUAGGGUAUCAUAGAGGGUGAGAAUCCCGUCUUUGACUCAGUGCAUGCUACUAUGUGAUACGUUUUCAAAGAGUCGAGUUGUUUGGGAAUGCAGCUCAAAAUGGGUGGUAAAUCUCAUCUAAGGCUAAAUAUUGGCGAGAGACCGAUAGCGAACAAGUACCGUGAGGGAAAGAUGAAAAGAACUUUGAAAAGAGAGUUAAACAGUGCGUGAAAUUGUUGAAAGGGAAACGUUUGACACCAGUCAUGCGGGCGGAAAAUCAGUCUUUUGUAGUGGGGAAGCGCGUGGGUUCAGACCGCAAGGCUGGCCUAUGUGUUCUCUCUGCUGCGAGUGAUGCACUUUUUCGUCUGCAGGCCAACAUCAGUUUCUUCUGCUGGACAAAACUCUAAGAGAAGGUAGCAGCUUAGGCUGUGUUAUAGCUCUGGAGCGAUACAGUGGAGGAGACUGAGGUUUUCGCAGCGUGUGCUCUCGGGCAAGGCGGAUUGGGUGCUAUGAGAUCGUUCGGCGUACAAUGCAUGCAUUUUGCGCCGUGUCUUUUUCAUACUCGCUCAACUCUGCUCUUCCACGCUUAGGAUGUUGGCAUAAUGGUUUUAACCGACCCGUCUUGAAACACGGACCAAGGAGUCUAACAUAUAUGCGAGUGUUUGGGUGGCAAACCCAUACGCGUAAUGAAAGUGAACGUAGGUGCCAUCCGCAAGGUGCAGCAUCGACCGAUCUUGAAUUUUUAGGAUAGAUUGAGUAAGAGCAUAUAUGCUGGGACCCGAAAGAUGGUGAACUAUGC
RNAcentral lists this ribosomal RNA (883 nucleotides) under Mortierella indohii. Its description in RNAcentral is "eukaryotic LSU rRNA". It matches the Rfam family "Eukaryotic large subunit ribosomal RNA", at positions 92 to 836 of the family's 3401-position model. Lineage: Eukaryota; Fungi; Mortierellomycota; Mortierellomycetes; Mortierellales; Mortierellaceae. The record is from RNAcentral.